UUAGUAUUGGGAUUCGCUUUCUCUAUUUGUGAGUUUUGUGAUGAAUGAAGAAAUUGCUUCGAAAAGAUCGUUACUGAGUCAGUAAAUCAAUAACAAUGAUGAAAGAUGGUCAUGAAUUUCAUUUUUUUUUUUUAACCAAAAUGGAAAUACAAUUUAUUUUUUUGUUUUAUUACUAUGUGUGAAGAAAAUACCAAAUUUAACCAAAAG
This 207-nucleotide long non-coding RNA is filed under the name Trifolium pratense (red clover). RNAcentral's name for it is "long non-coding RNA (TPRA_LNC006907)". Lineage: Eukaryota; Viridiplantae; Streptophyta; Magnoliopsida; Fabales; Fabaceae. The record is from RNAcentral.